UCCAGACUCCUACGGGAGGCAGCAGUGGGGAAUAUUGCACAAUGGGGGGAACCCUGAUGCAGCGACGCCGCGUGGGUGAAGGAGCACCUCGGUGCGUAAAGCCCUAUCGGCAGGGAAGAAAAGCGAACAGGUUCGCCUGGACGGUACCUGACUAAGAAGCCCCGGCUAACUACGUGCCAGCAGCCGCGGUAAUACGUAGGGGGCAAGCGGUAUCCGGAUUCACUGGGUGUAAAGGGAGCGUAGACGGCGACGCAAGUCUGGAGUGAAAGCCCGGGGCCCAACCCCGGGACUGCUCUGGAAACUGCGUCGCUGGAGUACGGGAGGGGCAGGCGGAAUUCCUGGUGUAGCGGUGAAAUGCGUAGAUAUUAGGAGGAACACCGGUGGCGAAGGCGGUCUGCUGGACAGCAACUGACGGUGAGGCGCGAAAGCGUGGGGAGCAAACAGGAUUAGAUACCCCCGUAUAC
This 464-nucleotide ribosomal RNA is filed under the name uncultured bacterium. RNAcentral's name for it is "bacterial SSU rRNA". It matches the Rfam family "Bacterial small subunit ribosomal RNA", at positions 330 to 795 of the family's 1533-position model. The record is from RNAcentral.